GUCUAUGGCCAUACCCCCCUGAACAUGCCUGAUCUCGUCUGAUCUCGGAAGCUAAGCAGGGUCAGACCUGGUUAGUACUUGGAUGGGAGAACCAGAAAGAAAUACAUAAUAAGUUCUUAGGCC
Capra hircus (goat) is the source of this 123-nucleotide ribosomal RNA. The record is from Ensembl. Lineage: Eukaryota; Metazoa; Chordata; Mammalia; Artiodactyla; Bovidae.